Molecule: long non-coding RNA, 203 nt
Filed under: Coccomyxa subellipsoidea
Lineage: Eukaryota; Viridiplantae; Chlorophyta; Trebouxiophyceae; Coccomyxaceae
Description: long non-coding RNA (CSUB_LNC000488)
Source: RNAcentral
AAAAUCAGGGAUUGGGACGUAUCGCUCGUACGAUGCUGAUGAUGUGUUGCCAGCCGAUGAAAGGCUACCAGACCUCUCUAGGCUGUAUGGCUCAAAUACCCAUUCACCAUUGUGGUUCCUAAUCCUGCGAGAGUCUGCAGUCUCAGAAGGGCCAUCCAGUGCUUCAGAAGCUGUUGACGACAUUGCUACAGGCGCUAUUGAAG